AAUACACUCCCUCCAUCCCAUAUUAUGUGUAGCAAUUUUGUCUAGAUACGUGUGUAUCUAGACGCGCUUUAGUAUGUAGGUACAUGCAUAUCUAGACAAAGUUGCGACACUUAAUAUGGGAUGGAGGGAGUAUAUU
This is a non-coding RNA of Brachypodium distachyon (stiff brome), 136 nucleotides long. Lineage: Eukaryota; Viridiplantae; Streptophyta; Magnoliopsida; Poales; Poaceae. The record is from Rfam.